GACGGUAAAAACUUACCAGAUUUCGGAUAAGUCACAAUAACAACGUCGUCCGGUCUAAAAGUGAAUUGUUCAUAGUAUGCAAUGCUCUCUGGAGGAUGUAACAGUUUUGGAAGAUAGACUCCUUUGUAGACGGUGUAUAAUUCUUCUUCAGUCAUGCUGCUCCAAAAGUGACAGCAACCUAGCAAACACAAAGUGAACCUUGGACUCUAGCUAGAGCUUCCGUAGACCUCACAUUAUCGGUCUUCUUGUCAUUCUGACAAGAAUAGUCAUUCGUGCUGCCUCUCUCUCCCUAUCAGAGAUAUCUACCACUCUGUUACUGUGAUCCUAAAACGAAUGGUUUAAGAAGACGAUGUAGGCUAGUUAUUUUGUCAAAAACAGAACCUGUGCCACGAGAAAGUGGUAAAAUGUGAUGUUGUAAGGAAUUGCAUCCACUGUUCUGUGGUCUGUCUUUGGAUCAUUGCUACCUUUCAGCUCAAAUCCCCAUUGGAAUGGUACCAAUAAAUAUGUCUGUGAUCUUGGGGCCCAUCAAGGAGAGAAAGACAAACACGCCAAUGCAUCAGAGUCAAGGUCUACAUAGUCAGCUACGCCGUGAGCAUCAUGUAAAAACAAGUGACCGUUAUCCUCCGUUAAUCUCCUCACAUAUCAACAUUAAUAAAUCCAAUGAGCAUGUGUUGUUUUCUCAUUGAUUACACACUA
Molecule: long non-coding RNA, 696 nt
Organism: Hypomesus transpacificus
Lineage: Eukaryota; Metazoa; Chordata; Actinopteri; Osmeriformes; Osmeridae
Exons: 2
Source: RefSeq, a predicted model, not a curated record